AACGCGAAGAACCUUACCUGGGUUUGACAUGCACAGGACGCGUCUAGAGAUAGGCGUUCCCUUGUGGCCUGUGUGCAGGUGGUGCAUGGCUGUCGUCAGCUCGUGUCGUGAGAUGUUGGGUUAAGUCCCGCAACGAGCGCAACCCUUAUUUCAUGUUGCCAGCGGGUAAUGCCGGGGACUCGUGAGAGACUGCCGGGGUCAACUCGGAGGAAGGUGGGGAUGACGUCAAGUCAUCAUGCCCCUUAUGUCCAGGGCUUCACACAUGCUACAAUGGCCGGUACAAAGGGCUGCGAUGCCGCAAGGUUAAGCGAAUCCUUUUAAAGCCGGUCUCAGUUCGGAUCGGGGUCUGCAACUCGACCCCGUGAAGUCGGAGUCGCUAGUAAUCGCAGAUCAGCAACGCUGCGGUGAAUACGUUCCCGGGCCUUGUA
This 428-nucleotide ribosomal RNA is filed under the name uncultured Actinomycetes bacterium. RNAcentral's name for it is "bacterial SSU rRNA". It matches the Rfam family "Bacterial small subunit ribosomal RNA", at positions 958 to 1385 of the family's 1533-position model. Lineage: Bacteria; Bacillati; Actinomycetota; Actinomycetes. The record is from RNAcentral.